UCGACCUGAGCUCAAGCAAGACCACCCGCCGAACUUAAGCAUAUCAAUAAGCGGAGGAAAAGA
RNAcentral lists this ribosomal RNA (63 nucleotides) under Dunaliella parva. RNAcentral's name for it is "partial 28S ribosomal RNA". It matches the Rfam family "Eukaryotic large subunit ribosomal RNA", at positions 1 to 62 of the family's 3401-position model. The record is from RNAcentral. Lineage: Eukaryota; Viridiplantae; Chlorophyta; Chlorophyceae; Chlamydomonadales; Dunaliellaceae.